Cyprinodon tularosa is the source of this 452-nucleotide long non-coding RNA. RefSeq lists it as uncharacterized. The transcript is spliced from 3 exons. NCBI's taxonomy places the organism in Eukaryota, Metazoa, Chordata, Actinopteri, Cyprinodontiformes, Cyprinodontidae. The record is from RefSeq and is a predicted model, not a curated record.
GUUUGGUGAUUCAUCGCCAGUUGUGGUGACUCGCACUCUUGUGUGGCAGGAACUGUUGUGUGCAGUCAUACAGUGGCGUUGCUGUUUCAAACAGCACAUUGCUCUCAGCUCAGGACACCAGUUGUGCCCCCUGUGCAUAGCUGCACAGAAUCUGAGCAGCAAUGGCACAAGCCACGAACAAUGGGUGUCAGGCCAGGGCCUAUCAAGUCCAUGGUCUUCACUAAGCCAGUACCAAACAGGAUGGUGCAGACUGGAGUGAGAAGUGGAUUCUACAGAGGUAUGGUGGGUCCCUUGCCAGACCCCUGUAUGUUCAGAAUUGAGGAGGUAUAUGCUAAAUUCAGCAUGGAGGACAGGCCACUCGUAACCACAAUGAACAUGGGACCUGACAAGCCCCUUGUGGAAAGUGCCUUUGGGCUGGUGCAGAGGGGCAGUGUUCUUUCUUACCAAAAGCC